AGCAGCCGCGGUAAUUCCAGCUCCAAUAGCGUAUAUUAAAGUUGUUGCAGUUAAAAAGCUCGUAGUUGAAUUUCGGGGUUAGCAGGUCGGUCGUGCCAUCGGUAUGAACUGGUCUCGCUGAUCCCUCCCUCUUGACGAACUGUGAUGCCAUUAAUUUGGUGUCGCAGGGAAUCAGGACUGUUACUUUGAAAAAAUUAGAGUGUUUAAAGCAGGCUCACGCUUGAAUACAUUAGCAUGGAAUAAUGAAAUAGGACGUUUGAUCCUAUUUUGUUGGCUUCUAGGAUUGACGUAAUGAUUAAUAGGGAUAGUUGGGGGCAUUAGUAUUCAAUUGUCAGAGGUGAAAUUCUUGGAUUUAUUGAAGACUAACUACUGCGAAAGCAUUUGCCAAGGAUGUUUUCAUUAAUCAAGAACGAAAGUUAGGGGAUCGAAGACGAUCAGAUACCGUCGUAGUCUUAACCAUAAACUAUGCCGACUAGGGAUCGGAUGAUGUUAAUUUUUAAUGACUCU
Molecule: ribosomal RNA, 507 nt
Filed under: uncultured Glomus
Lineage: Eukaryota; Fungi; Glomeromycota; Glomeromycetes; Glomerales; Glomeraceae
Description: SSU rRNA
Rfam family: Eukaryotic small subunit ribosomal RNA
Source: RNAcentral